This is a long non-coding RNA of Myxocyprinus asiaticus (Chinese sucker), 2335 nucleotides long. RefSeq lists it as uncharacterized. Lineage: Eukaryota; Metazoa; Chordata; Actinopteri; Cypriniformes; Catostomidae. The transcript has 3 exons. The record is from RefSeq and is a predicted model, not a curated record.
AGCCCAACACCAGCUAUGACCUGAGCUUUUGUUCAGUGACACUGUGAUCUGAAAGAUUUAAUCAGUUUCCAAAAAGGCAAAAAAGAAAGCUAUAUCUGAAGUAAAAAUGCAACUGCAGCUACAGUAUAAGAUGAAGACUUGGGGACAAAAUCAUUGAAUGAAUUGAUCCUACUGAAACAUAUACCUCUUACAAGGUAUAUGUGUAAAGAGGAGGCGAGAAGCAGCUUUCCUGGUUCAGGUCAGCUGGAAAACUUUGAGGAGCUGGAUGUUCUACUGUCCUCUUUCCCUGAAGAGAUUUCAACAUACACCAAGACAAGCCCCAGACCACUGAACUUCAUGCUCUUCUGGCCUCGUUUGACUUGGGAAGUCUAAACACUACAGCAACUCACAGAUCGGGCAAGCAGCUUGACCUAAUUUUUACAUGAAACUGUACCAACACAAAUAUUCUUGUUACUCCUUUAUAUGUCUCUGAUCACUACUUUGUUCAAUUCAACAUUACUCUCCCAUCUAUAUUAUAACAGACUCCGCCUUUGGUUUCCUUUCACCAUAACUGUCGUUCUCUUUCACUCACACACCUUUCCACUGCUGUCUCUACCUCUCUUCCCUCACAAAACUUAUUUUCCACCAUGGAUGUAAACACUGCCACAAAUACAGUAGGCUCUACUUUAACAACCUGUCUAGACAGCAUCUGUUCUAUCUCCUCUAGGCCAGCACAUAUGACACCGCCCAGCCCCUGGCUCUCUGAUGUUCUUCAUGUUUCCACCAGAUCUCUGUCUAUCUCUUGCAGAACAAGCUGCUGGAUGACAAUCAAUCAGGCUUCAAUAGUGGACAUUCCCGAGACUGCCCUGCUGUAUGUCAUUGAGUCACUGAGACUGGAUCCAGAUCACCCGUCCUGAUUCUACUGGACCUUUCUGCAGCCUUUGACACAGUCAACCAUCAGAUCCUACUGUCCAUCCUCUCUACUCUGGGCAUCACAGGAACUGUGCUUGACUGGUUUAAGUCCUAUCUCUCAGCCCAACAACACGGUGCCUGCUCGAGUCUUGGCCUGAUUGGCAGAGAUCUCGGCCUGGAUGAAGGAACACCACAUGCAACUUAAACCAGCAAAGACUGAGCUCCUCGUCUUUCCAGCCAACCCUGCUGUUGAACACAUCAUCAUCAUUCAGCUGGGUUCAACUACAAUAAUGCCUUCCAAAAUGGUCGGAUAACCACUGAUAACUCAAUUUCACAGACCACAUCUCAAAGACAACACGAUCAUGUAGAUUUACACUCUACAAUAUCAGGGAAAUAAGACCCUUCCUCUCUGAACAUGUCACACAACUUCUUGUUCAGUCACUUGUCAUAAAUAGACAGGACUACUGUAACACUCUCAUUGCAGGCCUCCCUGCAUGCAAAAUUAGGCCCCUGCAAUGAUCCAAAAUGCAGCAGCACGUCUGGUCUUUAAUGAACAAAAGAGAGUGCAUGAUACACCACUCCUUGUCUCUCUUCACUGGCUGCCGGUUGAUGCACGUAUCAAAUUCAAGGCUCUGAUGCUGGCAUACUGAACAGUCACUGGGUCUGCUCCAGAGUACCUAAAAUCAUGCGGUCGGCUAAUGAGCAGCGCCUAGUUGUACCAACACAAAGAGGCACCAAAACACUUUCCCGGACUUCUCGGCUUCACUGUACCACAUUGUUGGAAUGACCUUCCCAACACCAUCUGUGAAGCAGACUCACUCUCUGUCUUCAAAAAACAGCUAAAAACUUUUCCAUGAGCACUUAACCAAGCACUCAUAAUUUGUUUUUGUUUUUUUACUAUAUAUUCUUAUUGUAUCUAAUCUGUCUUGGAUACUACUAUUCUGAUGCAAGGUUAUAAUAGUUAAAAAAUUUUAAUUUAGAUUUUAUUUCUAUUUCGUUUAAAAAAAUUUGCUCCAAUUUAGUUUAAUUUUCGUUUUGUUUGUUAGUUCUUUGUUAGUUUUAGUUUCGUUUUAGUUUUUAAAUAUUUUAUAGUUUAGUUUUACUUUUUCAUUACAUUUAGUUUUUAUUUUAGAUUUUAUAUCAAGUAAUACAUAUAGAAUGGGGAAAACAGGCAUUUGUGCAAUGUGGGUUGUAUUGCUGGACACCCAAAUGUUUGUAAAUAAAACUUAUAGUAUUAAAAAUCUUCAUUUUAAUAAGACCAACUGAAUUGCAUUACUGAUAUUACAGUAGAAGAAAACACAUUCUUUUUUAUUGAACCUUAACCACAAAGUCCUCUUUAGUGCAUUUGACAUGAGAAAGUAAAUCUUGUCGCAACUCUGAAAACUGAACAUCAAACAAAAUUCUAUACCAAUUCCAAAUGAAAUGUAAAACAAAUCACUGAUUG